CCGCAGGGGCAGGAGCUCCUUGCCGGCUCCGGUUCUGCUCGGAGCCCCCAUCUCCGGAGCCAAGCCUGCCGGCCACCGCCUCCCCGAAGCGAGCCAUCCUGGAAGAAAACGCACAGGUGAGCCGAAGCAGCACGGCCGAGGCAGCGGGGGAGAAGAGGGAGGGAGGAGGGUGUGUGGAGGGGGGGGUUGCGGGGCCCCCUCCUCCUCCUCCUCUCUGGGUGAUGCUCAGCUCCGUCGCUCCUCCAUCCCUCCGAGGGAGCCGAGACCCGCGUAGGGAGGGAGCAGGCAGCGCCGGGCUCAGCACCCUCGGCACAGCGGGACCCCGAGCUGGGGGGGGGGGGGACACAGCAGGGAGCCCCCAGGGCACGGCGGAGGCUGCGGCGCUCCGUCCUUAAGCAGCCCCCACGCCUUCCGCCGCGACGCGAGGGGUUAAAAGCAGCCACAUCCUUCCCAGCACCCUGCCCCAGCACCCCAACCAGCCCCCUUCCCUGCCCCUCCUGGCGAGCGCUGCACCCCGCAGCACCGCAUCCCUCUGGCCCCACAGUGACACGGUUUGGGCACAGCCCUACACCCGCCACCCCCCCCCAAAAUCCUGCCCCGCACGGGCUCCCCGCAGCUCGGGCAGCCCCAGCGCAGCGGCCACCCCGAGCACACGGCCAGCUCUCCCCGCCAGAGGCCUGGGGUCUGGAUUUUAACACACGGAUGUGCUGCUGCUCGGGGCCUGGCGAUGCCUCGGAUUCGGAUGUCUCCAUGGUUACCUGCUCACGGUGGAGCUGGGGGUAAUCGAGCUCGCGGGGUUCACCGUUGGGCGCGCAUCACCCUCUUCCCGCGCAGCCUGGCCCCGCUUUGUCCCCCCGGGUGCCACCGAGCACCGGGUGCCACCACCGCCAGCUGGGCAGGAGCAGCGAGGCUCACCCCGAGGACUCGGUACGUGCACGGUGCCGCCGGCCCCACGGAUGAUUAGGCACAAAACCAGCCUGGCAUCCCGAAAGCAAACGCAAUCCCGAGCCGCGCAGAGCCAAAGCCGAGCGUCUCCUCCCACCGCCCCGCACAGCUCCGGCGAGACAGGAGCGAAGCACGGAGAGGGGCGGGCAGGAUGCGUGCCGACAGCCAGCAGAGCUGCUGGCAGCCCCAGGGAGCCAGGAGCAGCAGCACCCACCCACACGUGGCUGGCCCCACGCCUGCUUCCUCGCAGGAGCAUCCCUCGGCCGCAGGCGUGCGUAAAGGUGAGCGGGGUGCCAGGGGCCACCAGCCCAAGGAGCUGGCUGGAAGCACUGUGCCAAAAAUAACAAUAAUAAUAAUAAUAAUAAUGCAGAACUGCAAAGCACAGCAGCCCAGCUGAACAAAAAUGAGAGGUUUUAUUAUUAGUAUCUGACUUUGCCUGACCCUAAGCUUGUGGGAACAGCCAUUGAGACACCCAAACUCAUAGCCCAAAGCCAGCACCACUUCGUUCUGCAGGCACUGCCCAGGCUUCACCCGUCCUCACUGCUCACUUGCUGACCCCGAGUCCUGUGGAGCAGCACUCCGGGGUAACCUCAAGGACCUCCAGCUUUUGAAUCCUGCCUUCAUUCUGCACAGGCACAGAAGCCUGGCCAGCUUUUCCUCUCCUCCUCCCUGCGUGCACAGCCACAGACUCUUCAGAUGUGGACUAAUUGGAGAGAGUUCGGAGGGCAGCAAAGAGCACGCAGAGGGCAGCAAAACAACCUGUUGAAAAAAAAAAAAAAAAAGCCCCAAAGAGCUGGAUUUGUCUGGUCUGGAAAUCAGAAGGCAGAAGAGACGUGAUGCAGUCUUCAAUUAUGCAAAAGGUUGCUACAAAGGGUGCGGGAAUAAAUUGUGCUCCAUCCCCACUGGGAACAGGACAAGAAGUAAUGGGCUGUAAAUUGUAAAUUAGACACUUGGAGGGGGAAAAAAAAGAGAGAUACUUAGCAG
Oxyura jamaicensis (ruddy duck) is the source of this 1929-nucleotide long non-coding RNA. RefSeq lists it as uncharacterized. The record is from RefSeq and is a predicted model, not a curated record. The transcript has 3 exons. NCBI's taxonomy places the organism in Eukaryota, Metazoa, Chordata, Aves, Anseriformes, Anatidae.